This 487-nucleotide ribosomal RNA is filed under the name uncultured bacterium. RNAcentral's name for it is "SSU rRNA". It matches the Rfam family "Bacterial small subunit ribosomal RNA", at positions 26 to 518 of the family's 1533-position model. The record is from RNAcentral.
AGAACGAACGUUAGCGGCGCGCCUAACACAUGCAAGUCGAGCGAGAAAGGGCUUCGGCCCCGGUACAGCGGCGCACGGGUGAGUAACACGUAGAUAAUCUACCCCUGAAUGGUGGAUAACCCUCCGAAAGGAGAGCUAAUACAGCAUAAGACCACGGUUUCUUUGGAGACUGAGGCCAAAGCGGGCCACUUCAUGAAAGCUCGCGUUUGGGGAUGAGUCUGCGGCCCAUCAGUUAGUUGGCGGUGUAAUAGACCACCAAGGCUAAGACGGGUAGCUGGUCUGAGAGGAUGAACAGCCACACUGGAACUGAGACACGGCCCAGACUCCUACGGGAGGCAGCAGUGGGGAAUAUUGGACAAUGGGCGCAAGCCUGAUCCAGCCAUGCCGCGUGAGUGAUGAAGGCCUUAGGGUUGUAAGCUCGUUUUACCCGGAAGAUAAUGACGGUACGGGAGAAGUAACGCCCGGCUAACUUCGUGCCAGCAGCCGC